Neogale vison (American mink) is the source of this 1885-nucleotide long non-coding RNA. RefSeq lists it as uncharacterized. Lineage: Eukaryota; Metazoa; Chordata; Mammalia; Carnivora; Mustelidae. The transcript has 4 exons. The record is from RefSeq and is a predicted model, not a curated record.
UGGUGUGGUUUGCAGUCUGGAGCCUUCCAAGUGACGGGCCAGGUUUCCAGGCACGUCUGUUUUCCCUACUGCUGGUUUCAUGACCAGUGUGCAUUUGAGAGAGAACCACUGAGUUAGCUUCAAUGAGGAAUUGGGUCUGGAACCAUUGAAAUUUGGCCUAUAAACUACACUUAAAGAUGGUGGGGUACUAUGGACUCUGGGUGGUCAGGAUGUUUCUGUGAGUUCAUCAGUUGCAACAAAUGUCCCACUCUGGUGGGGGAUGUUGAUAUGGGAGAGAUUAUCCAUGUAUGAAGGCAGAGGGGUGCAUGGGAAAUCUCUGAAACUUCCCCUGAAUUUUGUUAUGAGCCUAAAAGUGCUCUAAAAAUAUAUAGUCUUUUUACAAAAUAGUAGGUGGAUGGAAGCAACUUCAGAGGGAAACCAUUAAGAUGGUGGGGUACCAAUAUGUCUUGAGGAGAUUUUAAGGAAUUAUUGAACUAAACUAAUGGGUACAAGGUUUGGGGUGUGGCAGGUUUCAGCCCAGAAUAAGGAGGAGCUGUCUAACCUGUCCACAGGCGGGGAUUGCCUCAUUAAUGGUGGUCUUGGCCCCAUGGACAUGGUCAGGAGGAGUCAAGUGUUUCCAGGGGUAAUCAUUUAUAUCGGGUUCCCAAACCUGCUCAACAGUAUCAUUUGGCCACUGUUGACAGGAUCUUUUGGGAUAUUCUGAGCUGUUCUGAUUCCUUGGUUUUGGGGUGGGGCCUGAUCAUCCAAAUUUUUAAUGAACAUAAUAGAUGAUCCAUUUGCUGGGUAGGAGUGGUGGUGGGAGGUGUGUAGUAGAGGACAGCAGUGUACAAAGGCCCUUUUUUGAGGAGAGGGUCUGGAGUGUUUUAGAAACUGAAAGGCUGACAUGUCUGUAACACAGAGAGAAUAGGGUGAGCUCUAUUAGAAAGAGUGGAGGUGACAGUGGGGGCCAGAAGUGGGAGAGUCGGCUGAACCACGUGAAGUAUUUCAGGUGCAGUUGGAAAGCACGUGAGCCAAGAGCAGCCCAGGCUAAGAGGGUUAUAUAAGUGCGUGUGAAUAUGCACAUUCCCACACAAAUACACACAAGGCUGUUAGAGAUCACUCGGGCUGUGAAGAGAAUGGAUUUAGAAGUGUCGUGGACAGGGCAAGGGUGGAUGAUGGUAGAUGGGUUCGUGGACUGUGUAUUCCAGAUUUCUGAUGCCGCACGUCCUAAAGCAGGAGAUAAUAGAGAAUCCGCAGGAUUAGCCACCGAGGCAUCGCACUCUCGUGUGUCAUUACAGCAGUGGUGUUGAGACAGCCCUUGGAGACAGAAAAACGGUGGGGCAGUAAUUCUGUGAAAGCAGCCGCUGUUCCUCUUCUUCAUUCAAUUCAGAGUGUUAGAUAACAUGGCGCCGUACUGAGCAGGAGGCUCCGUCAUGAACUCUUACCCUCUACGGAGGUGAAGUAACUUGGAGUCAUCCUUCCUUCCUUUGUUUCCCUCAUACCUUCCGUCAGCCUGUCAGCAAACCUAGUUGACUCUACCUUCGGAAUACUCCUAACCACAUUCCCUGCCAUCAGUUCGAGAAAUGCAUACCUAUAAAAUAAAGUUCCAGCUCCUUACCAUGGUCUUCAGACUUCUCCAGAGGGCCUGGUUCCCUACUGAAUUCAGGCCAUUACUGUUACGAAAUUCACGGGAAUCCUCGCCAUACCUAAGUGUUUACCUGCUCCCAGGUUUGCCUUGUUUGCCUUUGCUUUGUCGGAGGAAAGUAGAUACAGGAAAGCUCUCUCCUCAUUCUUACUUGUGAAAGGCCUAUCCCUUAUCUUUAAUGCCCAACUCAAUUGUCAGCCACAGAAAAAUGUCUUCUAUUCUUCCUGCUAAAAUUGUAUCUUUCCCUCCUCUGAAUUUUGA